RNAcentral lists this unclassified non-coding RNA (19 nucleotides) under Mus musculus (house mouse). RNAcentral describes it as "oocyte_clustered_small_RNA9420". Lineage: Eukaryota; Metazoa; Chordata; Mammalia; Rodentia; Muridae. The record is from RNAcentral.
UAAUAGUCCCACCCUGUGC